Molecule: ribosomal RNA, 379 nt
Filed under: uncultured eukaryote
Lineage: Eukaryota
Description: partial 18S ribosomal RNA
Rfam family: Eukaryotic small subunit ribosomal RNA
Source: RNAcentral
CAAUAGCGUAUAUUUAAGUUGUUGCAGUUAAAAAGCUCGUAGUUGGAUUUCGGGUGGGACGCAGCGGUCUCGCAUUGCGUUUGUACUGCUGCAGCCCUCCUUCUUGCCGGGGGCGGCCUCUCGGACUUCACUGUCUGGGGGUCAGAAUCGGCGAUGUUACUUUGAGUAAAUUAGAGUGUUCAAAGCAAGCUUACGCUCUGAAUAUAAUAGCAUGGGAUAACACGACAGGACUCUGGCCUAUCGUGUUGGUCUAUAGGACCAGAGUAAUGAUUAAGAGGGACAGUCGGGGGCAUUCGUAUUCCGUUGUCAGAGGUGAAAUUCUUGGAUUUACGGAAGACGAACAUCUGCGAAAGCAUUUGCCAAGGAUGUUUUCAUUGAU